This 72-nucleotide transfer RNA is filed under the name Ovis aries (sheep). It matches the Rfam family "tRNA". Rfam says of the family: Transfer RNA (tRNA) molecules are approximately 80 nucleotides in length. Lineage: Eukaryota; Metazoa; Chordata; Mammalia; Artiodactyla; Bovidae. The record is from Rfam by way of RNAcentral.
UCCCUGGUGGUCCAGUGGCUGAGACUCUGUGUUGCCAAUUCAGGGGCAUGGGUUCGAUCCCUGUUCAGGAAG